Glossina austeni is the source of this 81-nucleotide non-coding RNA. NCBI's taxonomy places the organism in Eukaryota, Metazoa, Arthropoda, Insecta, Diptera, Glossinidae. The record is from Rfam.
AGUUUUUAGCACGUAGGCGCCAUGGAUGGCGAAUCGUGCAUACUGCUACUAAGAACCAGCAGUAUCUUGCGAAGAUUUUCU